Molecule: ribosomal RNA, 252 nt
Filed under: uncultured bacterium
Lineage: Bacteria
Description: partial 16S ribosomal RNA
Rfam family: Bacterial small subunit ribosomal RNA
Source: RNAcentral
UACGGAGGAUGCGAGUGUUAUCCGGAUUUAUUGGGUUUAAAGGGUGCGUAGGCGGGAUGCCAAGUCAGCGGUAAAAAUGCGGUGCUCAACGCCGUCGAGCCGUUGAAACUGGCGUUCUUGAGUAGGCGAGAAGUAUGCGGAAUGCGUGGUGUAGCGGUGAAAUGCAUAGAUAUCACGCAGAACUCCGAUUGCGAAGGCAGCAUACCGGCGCCCUACUGACGCUGAGGCACGAAAGCGUGGGUAUCGAACAGG